GACGAACGCUGGCGGCGGGCCUAAUACAUGCAAGUAGAACGCUGAAGCGAGAAGCUUGCUCUUCUUGGAUGAGUUGCGAACGGGUGAGUAACGCGUAGGUAACCUGCCUGGUAGCGGGGGGGGACUAUGUGAAACGAUAGCUAAUACCGCAUAAAAUUGAUUAUUGCAUGAUAAUUAAUUGAAAGAUACAACUGCAUCACUACCAGAUGGACCUGCGUUGUAUUAGCUAGUUGGUGGGGUAACGGCUCACCAAGGCGACGAUACAUAGCCGACCUGAACGGAGGACCAGCCACACUGGAACUAAGACACGGUCCAGACUCCUCCGGGAGGCAGCGUAGGGGAAUAUUGGACAAUGGGCGCAAGCCUGAUCCAGCCAGACCGCGUAGGGAAAGAAGGCCUUGGGUUUGUAAAGCCCUUUUGUUGGGAAAGAAAAGCAGCAGGUUAAUACCCCGCUGUUCUGACGGUACCCAAAGAAUAAGCACCGGCUAACUUCGUG
This 496-nucleotide ribosomal RNA is filed under the name uncultured bacterium. RNAcentral's name for it is "partial 16S ribosomal RNA". It matches the Rfam family "Bacterial small subunit ribosomal RNA", at positions 28 to 507 of the family's 1533-position model. The record is from RNAcentral.